RNAcentral lists this long non-coding RNA (226 nucleotides) under Mytilus galloprovincialis (Mediterranean mussel). The record is from RNAcentral. Lineage: Eukaryota; Metazoa; Mollusca; Bivalvia; Mytilida; Mytilidae.
UUUUUUCCUUUCUGCAGAAGGUGCAAAAAUAAACAAACACCCGAAUUACUUUGAUACUGUCCACUCACAGCUGACUCAGAUAAACUCUUUAACUCACCUAUAGUUGUGAAGAUACAUGUACCUCUUGUCCAUGUCAAUUAAGGACAAUCAAAACAAUACAAACCGGUUUUUUACCUGAGGGUGCAUCUCAUAGUUGUACCACAACUUAGUUAAUUUUCACACCUUU